Molecule: long non-coding RNA, 4825 nt
Filed under: Malus domestica (apple)
Lineage: Eukaryota; Viridiplantae; Streptophyta; Magnoliopsida; Rosales; Rosaceae
Description: long non-coding RNA (MDOM_LNC011232)
Source: RNAcentral
GUCCUCAGUAAGCCUAGAUGCUUAGGAUGUGCACAUGUGUUGUGCAUCAGGAAAAGGAUCUCCCUAGAAUUCCAAAUGAAAAGCCAUAGGCUUCUCUCAGAGCAAGUCCAGCGGGGACAAAAUGUCCCAGCCCUCAGUCCAAAAAACAUGCCGGGCCUCUGUCAAUCAAGUCCACCCCAUGAAAUGAACUGGUACCCAGCCCGAGCUGGGCAAUGGACCAGCCCAAAAUAGACUGAGCAAGAAGCCGGGUUAUUGGCCUGGCGCGUGCGAUUCACGCCGGUGUGGCGCGAGUGCCCGACACGGUUUCAGAGCCCGGGCCCGCCUGACAGGCGCACUGACUCCCCCCCCCCCGAGUUGGCGACGUGGUUUUUUUUCGGCCGUUGGAUUUCCAACGGCUAGUUUUCUAGACCGUUGGAUUUCCAACGGUAAAAAAAAUUUAAAUUUUACUUUUAACAUAGACCGUCGGAUCAAAGAUCAACGGUCCACGUUUUUUUUACAAAAAAGUAAAUAAAAAAAAAGGCCCCAACGGUCAGAAAUAUGACCGUUGGCCACGUGGCAAGUCCCUGGCUCUUGGAUUUGAAUAUUUUUCAAAUCCAACGGUCCAGAUUAAUUAACUAUAUUAAAAUUCAUUAAAAAUUAUUAAAAAAUACAGAAAAAUUAUUAAAAAAUACAGAAAAUUUUAAAAAAAUUACAGAAAUAUUUGAAAAAUGUUAUUUUUUUUCCUAUAAAUACCUAACCCUCAUCUUCCACCUUUACACCACAUUUCAAUAUUUUCUACACUUUCUAUACUAUCUACAUUUCAAUAUUUUCUACACUUUAAGAGAAAAAAAUGUCUUCGUGGAAGCUCAUUGAAGAUGUUACGUUGUGUGAAUGUUGGGUUCACACUACUCAUGAUCCGAUUACGGGUAAUGAGAUGGAUAAGCGAGAAAUGUGGAGUAAAAUUACGAAAACGUUUUGUGAUGUACAUGGAUAAAACGUCAGAACUAGUCAAGGUCUUCAAGGUCGUUGGAAAAAACUCAACGCAUCAUUUACUUGUUGGAAAAACGCCAUCUCUCAUGCUUCCGGUAACCUCCGUAGUGGGACAAGUUUAGCGAAUCAGGUAAUAAUAUUUUUAUUUAUUUAUAUGCAUUCCACCCACAUCAAUAUUUUGAUUUAUUUAAUUUCGUAUGUAAUUUUUAUGUUAUUUCUUAUGUAAUUUUUAUAUGCAUUCCACCCGCAUCAAAAUUUUAAUUUCUUAUGUAAUUUUUAUUUAAUUUCUUAUGUCAUUUUUAUGUAAUUUAUAUGCAUUCCACCCGUAUCAAUAUUUUGAAUUUAUUUAUUUGUGUUACACCCGCAUUUUUUAACACUAUGUUAUCCCACUUUUUUAUAGACACUACAAGCUCAAGCAUUCUACAAUUCAAAGAACGGGAACAAAUCAUUCACUAAAUGGGAAUGUUGGCAAAUUGUCAAAGAUUGCCCUAAAUACAAAAUUGUGGCAACUGGUCCAGAAGUUGUCAUGCACGGUAUGGGUCUACAUAGUUCUCCAGAACUAGACAUGGCCGAACAAGAAGCCAACACAUUUCAAGACACGGAAGGGACACCUGAACAAGUGCCUGAGACCCAACCGACUUGUCAGUCCCUAAGGCCUCUAGGUAAAAAGGCGUCAAAGAAAAAAGGUAGUUCUUCCAAAAAUGACUACACUAAAUAUAUGGAGGAACUUGCUCGCCAAGGUGAACUAAACUUGGCACGAGAAAAGGCUAGAGAUGAGGAAAAAGUUGCUGCUAUGGCAGCAAUAUUAGCAGCUACUGAGGCCCGUGAUGCGGUGGCUGAGAGACAAAGAGAAGUAGUUAAUCGAGAGAACGAGCUGGUUAGAGAAGCACUUCAUCGAGAAAAUGAAUUGCUUCGAGAAGAAAGGAUGGCUCAAGCAGAUCGUGACACUAUGAGCAAGUCUCUAGUAGGACUGUCUCCAAAUUCUAAAUAUUUUUGGACAUCGGAAAAAAGAGAUGUCAUGCGUAGGAGGCGUGCAAGAGAUGCGGAAACAAGUCAAAGGGGUUCUAGCUACACAAAUCAUGGCAACCAAGAUCCUAGCACCACAUAUCCUAACUCGAGAGACUUUAUUUAAUUUCUUAUGUAUUUUUAUGUAUUUUCUUUCUUUUUUCUAGUAGAACUUUAUUUAAUUUCUUAUGUUUUUUCUUUUUUUAGGUUUGAACUUUAUUUAAUUUCUUAUGUAUUUUUUAUGUAUUUUCUUUCUUUUUUCUUUUGAACUUUAUUUAAUUUCUUAUGUAAUUUCUUAUGUUUUUUCUUUUUUUAGGUUUGAACUUUAUUUAAUUUCUUAUGCAAUUUUAAUGUAAUUAUUUAUUUAUUUAUUUAUUUUUAAAAUUUUAUUUCUUUUGUACUUUAUUUAAACACAUGAAAUAAGAUUACAUAAACUCACCAAAUAAACUUAAAAACAAAACACACUACAUAGAAUUACUUAAACUUAAAAAAAAUACAAUUUAUUCUUCAACCACAAGCCUCAUUCUAAUUAUCUUCGCCUCCAUGCAAUCCCCACUGGUGCUCAAUCAAGUCAUUCUGGGUUAUGUGUCAGUAUGGCUCUUGCACAUUAGUGUACCGCUGAACGAUCAAUUCAUUGUAACGUCCAUCGCGCUCCAACGGCUCGUGUUGCACUGGAUCUUCGGUCCGGUCAUGAGCACAAUAGAUACGUGUUCUUGAGUUGUUCAUCGGAUCCGGCUCAUAUUCAUCGACGGCAUCAUAAUCAUACUCAUCUUCAACAAUCAUGUUGUGGAGAAUAAUACACGUCAUCAUGAUGGAUCGAAGAUCCUUGACAUCAAACAUUCUAGCUGCAACCCUGAUAAUCGCCCAACAAGCUUGCAGGAUACCAAAACAACGCUCGACAUCCUUCCUACACCCUUCUUGACAUUUUGCAAAGUGUUUUUCCUUUUCCGUCUGUGGAUGUGGCACUGUUUUGACAAAUGUUGACCACCUUGGGUAAAUGCCAUCUGCAAGGUAGUAUGAUCCCUCGUAUUGGGUACCAUUAACCCAAUAUGUGCAUCUCGGCGAGUUUCCUUGUAGCAAUUCGUCGAACACUGGAGAUUGGGCAAGGACAUUUAGGUCAUUCUGAGCUCCUGGAACACCAAAAAAAGCAUGCCAAAUCCAUGUAUCAAAUGAAGCCACCGCUUCCAAAAUGAUGCUUUUGGCUCCUUUUCUGUCGCCAUAUGCUCCUUGCCACGCACUUGGACAGUUUUUCCAAGUCCAGUGCAAGCAGUCAAUGCUUCCAAUCAUGCCAGGGAAGCCUCGCAUCUCACCCUUUCUCAGAAGCCUGCGCAUGUCCCUUGGCGUGGGUGUCCGGAGGUACUCAUUGGUGUAGAGGGCUUCAAUUGCAGAGCAAAACCGCAUCAGGGACUCCAGAACAGUUGUUUUUCCCAUCCUUGCGAUCUCAUCCACUUGAUCUGCAGAUGCUCCAUAUGCAAGCAUUCGCAAGGAUGCAGUAAUUUUUUGCUUGGGAAUAAGACCUAGAACAUGAAAAGCAUCCUCUUUUUGCACAAAGUAUGGAUCAUGGUUGCAAAUAUCACUCAUGAUUUUAUUGAACAAAGCUCGUUGCAUUCUAAAACGACGUCUGAAAAUAUGAUCAGGGAAUAUGCUAUUGGGAAUAAAAUAAUCUUCCAAUAGAUUUUUACCUCGUUUUUCCCUUUUUCUAUCAAGAUUUGCAACACGUCUUGGUUUGGCUAUCUGACCCACGGCUUCCAUGACACGGCGGGAAUGUGAGGCCUUCUGCCUUCUAUGGUGAUCAGCCUCAUCCUCCUCCAUGAAGAAAGCCUCAUCUCCACCUCCACCUUCCUCGAGAUUGGCCAAUUCUGCCUGUUGUGCCAACAACCUUUGUUGUUGCUCCUGCAACUGUUUAUACACCCUUCUUGAAGAAGACAUUGUAAUAAGAACUCAAGAUUUGAAAACGAUGAACAAGGAUUCUGAGCUAAAAAGAAGGAUUGAGCUGUAAAAAGAAAUGAUGAGCUUGGUGUGAGAAUGGAUGUAGGGAUGUAGGGUUUAUAUGGACAAAAAAAGAAAGGAUGAGGUUCUGGACAAUGCCACGUGGCAUGACGUGAUUGGUUGAAAAUCUUAUCGAAAUCUUGGCUAAAUUAUUGUAAAACGGAAGUGACACGUGGCGUGUAGGGAUUUGUUGAAAAUCUUAGCGGAAAUCUAUUCACAAAAUAGUACGUUCAGAUAAUGACACGUGGCGUGACGAGAUUGGUUAAAAAUCCUAUCCGAAAUUAAAACUAUUUUAUUUUUUUAUUCUUUUAGAAAAAAAUUUAAAAAAAUUUUAAAUGGACUGGGUGCCAGCGCAUUUUGUAGGGAUGGAGAUCGUUUGUGCCAGCGCAUUUUUUCACUAGGUGCCAGCGCAUUUUUUUAGGGGUGGAGAUGCCUUGGCCUAUUACUGUUCAUUGGAGUCUGUUACUGUUCAUUUGAGUGGAUAAAUGCGCUGGGUGCUGGCGCAAAGUCCUUAGGGGUGGACUUGCUCUCAUUGUUUUCAUUUCUGAUUGUAAUUAGAAACCCUAGGUCCCUUUCUCUCUAGAAAACGAAAGAGGUGUUCUCAUUUCUCUGAUCCUGUUCUCAAAUCAACACAAACACUUGGUAGAAGCCAUAGCCACUCCUCCAUCAACCAUGAGAAAUGUCUUCAUAACUCUCGACCUACACACAAUCUAGUCAUCAUUGUUGUUCAACACAAACCCUUCGCCUCCAUUUCUCUCGAUCUGAAACUGUAAUCCAUGUCGCCAUGGCUCUAGGUCCCGUUCAUGGAAGCCAUCAUCUGCACUGGAUCUCAAUAGCGAAACCCCUAAGUCAAAGGUAAAAA